AACGAACGCUGGCGGCAUGCCUAACACAUGCAAGUCGAACGAGACCUUCGGGUCUAGUGGCGCACGGGUGCGUAACGCGUGGGAACCUGCACUUAGGUUCGGAAUAACUCCCCGAAAGGGGUGCUAAUACCGGAUGAUGUCUUCGGGCCAAAGAUUUAUCGCCUUUGGGUGGGCCCGCGUUGGUUUAGCUAGUUGGUAGUGUAAAAGCCUACCAAGGCGACGAUCCAUAGCUGGUCGGUGAGGAUGCUCCGCCACACUGGGACUGCGACACGGCCCAGACGCCUACGGGAGGCAGCAGUGGGUAAUAUUGGACAAUGGGCGAUAGCCUGAUCCAGCAAUGCCGCGUGAGUGAUGAAGGCCUUAGGGUUGUAAAUCCCUUUUAGCCGGGAUGAUAAUGACAGUACCGGGAGAAUAAGCUCCGGCUAACUCCGUG
Molecule: ribosomal RNA, 433 nt
Filed under: uncultured bacterium
Lineage: Bacteria
Description: partial 16S ribosomal RNA
Rfam family: Bacterial small subunit ribosomal RNA
Source: RNAcentral